CGGCGGACGGGUGAGUAACACGUGGGUAACCUACCUAUAAGACUGGGAUAACUCCGGGAAACCGGGGCUAAUACCGGAUAACACAUGAAACCGCAUGGUUUCAUGAUGAAAGACGGUUUUGCUGUCACUUAUAGAUGGACCCGCGGCGUAUUAGCUAGUUGGUAAGGUAACAGCUUACCAAGGCAACGAUGCGUAGCCGACCUGAGAGGGUGAUCGGCCACACUGGAACUGAGACACGGUCCAG
RNAcentral lists this ribosomal RNA (244 nucleotides) under uncultured Staphylococcus sp. Its description in RNAcentral is "partial 16S ribosomal RNA". It matches the Rfam family "Bacterial small subunit ribosomal RNA", at positions 96 to 334 of the family's 1533-position model. Lineage: Bacteria; Bacillati; Bacillota; Bacilli; Caryophanales; Staphylococcaceae. The record is from RNAcentral.